RNAcentral lists this ribosomal RNA (434 nucleotides) under uncultured Ruminococcus sp. Its description in RNAcentral is "partial 16S ribosomal RNA". It matches the Rfam family "Bacterial small subunit ribosomal RNA", at positions 341 to 792 of the family's 1533-position model. The record is from RNAcentral. Lineage: Bacteria; Bacillati; Bacillota; Clostridia; Eubacteriales; Oscillospiraceae.
ACGGAAGGCAGCAGUGGGGAAUAUUGCACAAUGGGCGCAAGCCUGAUGCAGCGGUGCCGCGUGAGGGAAGAAGGUUUUCGGAUUGUAAACCUCUGUCAACAGGGACGAAAAUGACGGUACCUGUGAAGGAAGCUCCGGCUAACUACGUGCCAGCAGCCGCGGUAAUACGUAGGGAGCAAGCGUUAUCCGGAAUUACUGGGUGUGAAGGGAGUGUAGGCGGGACUGUAAGUCAGAUGUGAAAUAUGCCGGCUCAACUGGCAGACUGCAUUUGAAACUGCGGUUCUUGAGUGAAGUAGAGGUAAGCGGAAUUCCUAGUGUAGCGGUGAAAUGCGUAGAUAUUAGGAGGAACAUCAGUGGCGAAGGCGGCUUACUGGGCUUUAACUGACGCUGAGGCUCGAAAGCGUGGGGAGCAAACAGGAUUAGAUACCCUGGUA